RNAcentral lists this long non-coding RNA (5060 nucleotides) under Xyrichtys novacula (pearly razorfish). Lineage: Eukaryota; Metazoa; Chordata; Actinopteri; Labriformes; Labridae. The record is from RNAcentral.
GGAUUAAGUUCGUCUGAGGGUUACUGAAUUAGUUUUAGACACACCCGAAGAGGACCGAGAUUAAAGAUUCUUGCUGGACAGGUUUUUCAGAAUAAGGAAGGCGCAAGUUCCUCUUUGGUUUUAUAACUCACCAACUUCCCUAAAUGAUUUCCCACACGAAUCAUAACCAAAAAAACAGAGAACCGCUGACCAAAACCUCAGCACUUGAUCAGUGAGGCUCGUAAAUGUGAUAAACAGGCUCACAGUAAACCUGGGAGACAAAUAUGAGGUUAAAAAUAACUUUAUAGUGUCCCUGUGAGGACUGCAAGAGCAGUCGUGUAAGGUUCUGCGGUAUGUCCUCUCAGUGACCACAUGAGGGCGCUGUCUACCCGCAGAGUCACUCUUAGAAAAGAGGCGUCAGAGCCGAGUCUACAGUCUCUAAUCAUUUUUUUAAUGCAUCAAAUUAUUGAAUCACUCCGGUUUGUAUUUGUAUAUCCUCAUGUUUAUCAAUCACGCACUCAGUCAGGCUUUACUUCAUCUAUUUUUUAUUUUUUACUCAUCAAGAAGACUUAAAUUGAUCUUGGCCAUAUUAAUAUGAAACGUGCAUACUAAUAACAGCAUAAAAGGGGAAAAAAAGUCUAAAUAAAUUGAAGCAUUAAAACAAAAAUAAAAGCUGUUAGGAUAAACAGCCUUGUGUUAUAUUGGUUAUAAUAAAUUAAAGUGCCAAAAAUAUUAUUAAAAAAAUGUGAGUGAUGAGUAAUGCAAUGUAAAUAAGAUAAUAUUUAAGAUAAUACAUUAACUAAUUCAGCCAUAACUUAUUGCUUUUAAAAACCCAACACUUAUUUACAGCCAAUGUUUGCUGAAGCAACUUAUAUUAAACAGCUUUUAAGCAGCCAUGGCUUGAUGUAGAGGCAUCAUCUUCGUGUUUUAAAAAGAUGCUGCAGCAUUAUUAAACAACUUAGACUCCUGUCAGUUAAAUAGAUAGAUAGAUAUACUUUAUUGAUCUCAAACUGGGAAAUUCACAUGGUGAAGUUGGUGACAUCUUAUGGUGAAAAUCAUCACCAUAAGAUGUGCUUUUACAUAAUUUGGGGAUCUCAUCCUUCUUUUUUACCCUCUUUUUCCAUGACUAUUAGUAAAAAGUAACAACUUUAAGUGAAUUUUGAAUAAAGAGCUUUUUUAAUUUUACUUUAUUUUUAUUUCACAAGUUGGCAUUUCUACUUCAGGAAAAUCAAAAGUAACCUUACCUUGACUUAAGAAAAAAAAAAAAGUUUCAACUCUUUUCACCUCUAUUAAGGGCCUGAAGCUUUUUCACAUUUUUAAUACACCUUAGACAAAAAGAAAAAUAAGCAGUGUCUUUCACCUCAAUAACUGACUGUGCCCUCCUCUUGUUAAAGACUCAUCAUUACAUAAUAAAUCCUGAUGAUAGUGACCUCAUACUUCACAUUUCGGGAAAUCAAUAUUUCUACCUGAUCAAAUAUUUGAGUAGGACUUUAAUUUCCUCUUUGAUUUGAAGUGUUGACACUACAAUCAUCUGUUUCAGAGUCUGCACGUGCUUAUGCAACAUCAGACUGCAGAGAGUUGCUGCUGUGAACCCCACAGAUUCAGAGAAGUUCACAUUUCUACUGUGGUUGGAUACAAGUACACCCAUAGUAAUAUCUCAGACUGACCGUGACAGAGUAGCAUCUUAUAAGAUCAGAUACCUCAAAGCUGUGAUUUGUUCCUUUUGCAAAUAAGUUCAGAUAAUUACAUUAAAAAUAAUGAAUUAAAGAGGAAAAAACUCACAUAUGAAGUAGUGCCUGUGGGAGAUUUGGGUCUGGAGACACAUGAACUAACAACAGGGUUAGCAAGAGAGCACCUGAACACACCUGGAGACAUUUUUUCUGAUCAGUCAUGCUGGAAUGAUGAACUUUUGACCUUCAGGGUGCAGCAGAGAGAGACACACGGCAAAAGUGAUCUUUAGUCACUCAGCGUAAAGACCAGACUACAUUCAUUAUUAUACUAUUUAUAGGGACUUCAAUUCGAUCCAUAAUAAGAGAAAUUUGCAAACUUCUUAUUAAACAGGCAGAAACCUCGAGCAGAAACAGAAUCAGCUACAGAUACAGUAGUGACCUCUCCCUGGCCACUUUGUCCAGCUCUUCUUAGGGGACUGGAGAUGUUUCCAGGCCAGCUGUGAGUCAUAGUCUCUCCAGUGUGCCCUGGGUCUUCCCUGUGGUCUCCUACCAGUGGGACGUGCCAUGAACACUCAUGAACACAUGGUGAAACGGACAGAGAUGUAAAAUAUGUAGAUAUGCUAUAUAAUAUUCCCAUAUAUGAAAUAUAUGGAAAUAUGAGGUAAAAAAAAAAAAAAAACUACAACAUAUGUGCUAAUGUAUGGACAAACUUUACAUAAAACAAUUUAAAAUUGGAACAACAUCACAUAUGCACAUACAUAUAUGUAUGCUCCAUACACAUAUAUAGGUUUUAUAUAUUUUAACACAUAUGGCCCAUGUAUUUCCUUUUAUAUAAACAUAUAAUGCCAUAGUCAGAUUAAGUGUUUACAAUCAAUGUAUAUAACCAGCACAUAUAAUAACCUAUAUGAAUUUUUGACAUAAAUGGACUAAUCAUAGGCUACCAUAUAUGAAUUCAACAUGUAACUUUUGUAAUCUUGCAUUCUAACAUCUACUAAUGCUAUUAACAUUUUAUGUAAAAAUAUUUUUAAAGGCUAUAUCAAAGGGUUUUUGAUACAUAUAAUAAAAAUGUUUAUGGGUAUUUUGAUGUAUGUAUGUAUGACUUUGACGAGCGUCUGGUGCUGGUUUAAUCCUUGACAGUGUUGAAUAAAGCGCUGUAUUGAGGAGUUGGUGAAAUGUUUUACUGAUAGUGUUUACUGGUGACAUCACCUUUAGCAACCAAAUACUGCAUGCAGCCAGCAGGGGGAGCUCUAAAAGCUACAGCUUCACUUUAUUGGCAUUUCUGUCCAUAUUCUCAUACAGUUUAUUCCUGAACUGUUUCAUUUUUGACACUUUUUUAAAUGAAGUUUCUGAAUAAAAUGCUUCCAGAUCUACAAAAUGUUGGUUUUGCUGCUGAGAAUGCACACAUAAAUCCGAAACCAAUCGAUUGACCGUGUGACUCUGGUGCCUCGAGGGCCCACAUGGAAAUUCAGCCUCUGUCAUAUUUAUCUUAUUCAAACUUCAUCAUCAGGACUCUUUACUUCACUGAGACAGACUGUUCUGAUAUGACAGUCGGGAUCAAAUUUUUUCAUGUUUGAGUAGAUCUGAGCAGGAUCAGGACUCCAUAAUGGUAAAAAAAGCUAAAGUGAGACUGUAGUCGCCUGACAUUGCAAAAUCAUGUGGGCAUUUCAACAACUUUUAAUACAAAUGUCCUCUUUUUUAAGAUGGUGUGAAGCAGUGGAGAAGGGAUGCUGAGACAAAGAGGGCUUUUAUUUGUAAAAAAAAAAAAAAGACUGAUGUGGACUGAAGAGGCCUCAGAUCAACUUGAGGUGAACUCUGAAAGAGCAUUUUCACACAGAAAGAUGACUGUGGAUUUGGGCUCUUAUUACACUGAGUGGAUCAUUUUUUGUCCACUGUGCAGGAGACAUGAAGACGGAAACCAACAACUGUGAGUAUCUUUAAAAAACAGACUUAUAAAAUGUUAAAUCUUUCUCUUAACUGUCAGAUCUUUUGUAUGAGAGAUCGUAUGCCAGUGUGUGAACAGGUGUUUUUUUUACAACAUGCAAUAUCAUGAAAAGAUUUUGCCAGGAUGCAAUUAUACACAAACAGCACUGGCAUAAAUACAACCAUAAAAGCCACAUGUUGUCAGUGAAGAUCAGCGAGCUGGAAAAUAAUUAUUCUCUGCCAAAUGGAAAUAUGGCUGAGCUGGAAAGAUGAUCUGUGUUUUGGAAAGAUAUUCUUAGAUAACCAGUGUGAUUACCUGUUGUAAAACGUGAGUCCUGACAGCCUGGGAAACCUCAUUUACAUCCUACGUACAUCUGUAAAUGUUUGUUUAUUUCUUGAUUGGACCGAUAAAAGGACCAUGAUCGGUGUGUUUUGUAUGUUGGCAGAAUUACUUCCCUCUUCCUCAAAGCAUGACUUGGCAAGAAAACACAGAGAGCUCCCCUGAGCGUUGAGGCCAAAGAUUGUUUGCAGGAGAACGUGACUGUUUUUCAGUUGUGGGUUGUAAAGAUAAGCUGAUGACCUGAGCUGGCUUACAGUAAAGUAUAAAACAAACCCGCAAAAGCUUGUAAAUCAACACUGCUUGUGUUUACCUGCUUUGUUUUGAACCACACCUGUCAGACACUGAUAGGGCAGCAAUUGUUCCAAAAAGAGGUCACUGAAUCGAAAACCCACAUCACGGUCUGAUGUGUUUAUUAGGAUUUGAUUUAUGCGCUCUGUGGUUUAUAACUGCCAGUAUAUUUUAAUUCAUGAAGCUUCUUGUUUUAAAAGAGAAGACCAUGUUAGAUCCCAGUUACCCCGUAAUACUCCUAAUCACCAGUAGGGGUGUUGUUCAUUGGUUGCAAAGAAAAGCAUAGUCUCUGCGGCGAUGCCGUCCCCAAAUUGUAAAUGCUGAUUCAUCUUGAAGUUGGUUUGCCAAGAAACAAGCCAAGAUGUCAGGCUGAACAGGCUCCAGUGUCCAACAAACAGCUACAAUGCAGCCACCUCAUCCAACUCACCCAUACCACUUAUGCAAAUUUACAACUCCUGACCUUCAUAUUACUUCCACAUCAAUUCAGUUCUUGCCAGGUGCGUGCAAACUGGCACAGGGAUGGUAUCUGGUUAAAUCGCCUAACUGAGCUUUAACUGUGUAUGUAAACAUACACUCUUAAAAACAACCCAAUUUGGGUAGUUUCCUUGUAGGGGUGAUGCAAGUGCUUCAAAUAUGGUCUCACUUGCACAUGUCUAUGUAGUUGCCCCUGUUAGAAGCUAUGUGUGUAUUAUUUUUGUCAGGAUGUAAAAAAAAAAAAUCAAAGUAUAGUAUGAUAUAAAAAUGUCAUAGUAUUGUAUGAUACAAAAAAGGCUUUAGUAUUAUAUGAUCAAAAUGUCAAAGUGUAGUAUGAUAAAAAAGUCAUAAUAUAGCAUGAUAAAAAUGUCAUAGUAUAGAAUGUAAAA